Molecule: ribosomal RNA, 292 nt
Filed under: uncultured bacterium
Lineage: Bacteria
Description: partial 16S ribosomal RNA
Rfam family: Archaeal small subunit ribosomal RNA
Source: RNAcentral
GUGUCAGCCGCCGCGGUAAUACCCGCAGCACAAGUGGUGGUCAUUAUUAUUGGGCCUAAAGCGUCCGUAGCAGGCUUGUUAGAUGCCUGGGUAAAUCGAUGCGCUCAACGCAUCGACUUCCGGGUAGACCGGCAAGCUCGAGACCGGGAGAGGCGUGGGCUACUCGAGGGGUAGGGGUAAAAUCCUGUAAUCCUUCGGGGAGGACCAGUGGCGAAGGCGCCACGCUAGAACGGCUCUGACUGUGAGGGACGAAGCCCUGGGGCGCAAACCGGAUUAGAUACCCCUGUAGUCC